RNAcentral lists this ribosomal RNA (158 nucleotides) under uncultured fungus. RNAcentral's name for it is "5.8S ribosomal RNA". It matches the Rfam family "5.8S ribosomal RNA". Rfam says of the family: 5.8S ribosomal RNA (5.8S rRNA) is a component of the large subunit of the eukaryotic ribosome. Lineage: Eukaryota; Fungi. The record is from RNAcentral.
CAACUCUUAACAACGGAUAUCUUGGCUCUCGUACCGAUGAAGAACGCAGCGAAAUGCGAUACGUAAUGCGAAUUGCAGAACUCAGUGAAUCAUCAAAUCUUUGAACGCAAAUUGCGCUUUCGGGAUAGGCCUGAAAGCACGUUUCUUUGAGUAUCGAU